GGCCGCCUGGCGAAAUGGCAUCGCGUCUGACUACGAUUGUAGGAUUUAAUCCCGCAGGUAUUAUCAGGAGAUUGCAGGUUCGACCCCUGCGGUGGUCA
This 98-nucleotide transfer RNA is filed under the name Wolfiporia cocos MD-104 SS10. Its description in RNAcentral is "Wolfiporia cocos (strain MD-104) (brown rot fungus) tRNA". It matches the Rfam family "tRNA". From Rfam's summary of the family: Transfer RNA (tRNA) molecules are approximately 80 nucleotides in length. Their secondary structure includes four short double-helical elements and three loops (D, anti-codon, and T loops). Lineage: Eukaryota; Fungi; Basidiomycota; Agaricomycetes; Polyporales; Phaeolaceae. The record is from Rfam by way of RNAcentral.